GCCUGGGUGGCUCAGUUGGUUAAGCAUCUGGCUUGAGCUCAGGUCAUGAUUUCCCAGUCCGUGGGUUCGAGUCCCGCAUCAGGCU
Molecule: transfer RNA, 85 nt
Filed under: Felis catus (domestic cat)
Lineage: Eukaryota; Metazoa; Chordata; Mammalia; Carnivora; Felidae
Rfam family: tRNA
About the family: Transfer RNA (tRNA) molecules are approximately 80 nucleotides in length.
Source: Rfam by way of RNAcentral